GUGAAUCAUCGAAUCUUUGAACGCAAAUUGCACUCCCUGGUAUUCCGGGGAGUAUGCCUGUUUGAGGGUCGUUAGAAUAAAAAAUCGAGGUGUCGCUCUUUUUUUUAAGGGUGAUCGCGGAGUAAUUGAUUCGUCUUUCAAAUGUUAAUUCAUGUCAAAGUGGUUUACAUUUCAUCGAUUAUGUGCGAUGUAUGCGUAUGCAAGAUCAAUAUUGAGUAAGAACGCGCGAUGACGUACCAGCUCAUGUAGUACGGUUGACCUGGGUCAUCAGGCUUAUU
This 278-nucleotide unclassified non-coding RNA is filed under the name Glomeraceae sp. RNAcentral's name for it is "partial contains 5.8S ribosomal RNA and internal transcribed spacer 2". The stretch from base 1 to 71 matches the Rfam family "5.8S ribosomal RNA", at positions 84 to 154 of the family's 154-position model. Lineage: Eukaryota; Fungi; Glomeromycota; Glomeromycetes; Glomerales; Glomeraceae. The record is from RNAcentral.